AGCCAUUAUUAACAUCAUGUUUGCAGUGGCUCAAAUGUUUGUCCCAUCUUCCCAUCAAAGGCUAUUUUCUCCAAGUUCCUCUCCUACCUUUCUGAGUGGAGAUGGUCCCUUCUGAGCAGGGAGAACAAUCAUAGCAGCAUGGCGGCUUUCCUUCCUGAACUUUUCUGGAAUAUCCAGGGAGACAGCUUUCUGUGCAUCUUGACCGAGGGACGGUCUAGGCAUGAAGAGAAAAUUGAGCAUUAAGGAGAAAAUGAAAGGUGAAUUUAUACCUUUGGACACAGAUAAUAGAAUUUUGGAAGGAUCUCGGAGAGGAGAUAUUUGUUUCCGAUAACCUCAGGUGACCCCAGACCAUAUUUUGGACAGUUACAUUUUUCUGUGUUUUUUUGCAGAGCUGCAUGGCAGAGACACCUUUUUCGAGCCUGGCAUAAACCAUCGUAUGCAGAUCAGCAAUAAAACAAGUCGUCCAUCUGUUGCCAUCACAUCUGCCAAUGGAGUCAUUGGUGUUGCUUCCAAAGACCCCCUAAUUUGGUGUCCAGUUUGCUUGUUUGCCAUGUCUCUAUGCCCAAACAAAUGUGGAAUACCUUACUAUACUCCAGCUUUACCCAAGCUGUUGCUCCUCUGAUAUCUUUGCACAAUGCUGGCUAGGGUGCACGCGACUUGUAGUCCACAAUAUUUGGAGGGCACCAAGUUGGGGAAAUGUGUUUGGAAAAUCUCCUAUUUACAUUGAAAUUUUAUACAAGUUUCCUCAAGAGCAGGUUCCAUUAAACUCAGUGGGACUUAGCUCCAGAGAAGUGCCCACAGGUUUGCAGUCAAAGCCUCAUAUGUACUAUUCAAAAUGUUAUUAGAGC
Molecule: non-coding RNA, 848 nt
Organism: Podarcis lilfordi (Lilford's wall lizard)
Lineage: Eukaryota; Metazoa; Chordata; Lepidosauria; Squamata; Lacertidae
Source: the annotation of a GenBank genome assembly